GAGUUUGAUCCUGGCUCAGGAUGAACGCUGGCGGCGUGCUUAACACAUGCAAGUCGAGCGAAGCAUUUAAGACGAUCUCUUCGGAUUGAGUCUUAUAUGACUGAGCGGCGGACGGGUGAGUAACGCGUGGGUAACCUGCCUCAUACAGGGGGAUAACAGUUAGAAAUGACUGCUAAUACCGCAUAAGCGCACAGGGCUGCAUGGCCUGGUGUGAAAAACUCCGGUGGUAUGAGAUGGACCCGCGUCUGAUUAGCUAGUUGGAGGGGUAACGGCCCACCAAGGCGACGAUCAGUAGCCGGCCUGAGAGGGUGAACGGCCACAUUGGGACUGAGACACGGCCCAGACUCCUACGGGAGGCAGCAGUGGGGAAUAUUGCACAAUGGGGGAAACCCUGAUGCAGCGACGCCGCGUGAAGGAAGAAGUAUCUCGGUAUGUAAACUUCUAUCAGCAGGGAAGAAAAUGACGGUACCUGACUAAGAAGCCCCGGC
This 488-nucleotide ribosomal RNA is filed under the name uncultured bacterium. Its description in RNAcentral is "bacterial SSU rRNA". It matches the Rfam family "Bacterial small subunit ribosomal RNA", at positions 9 to 497 of the family's 1533-position model. The record is from RNAcentral.